Molecule: non-coding RNA, 28 nt
Filed under: Homo sapiens (human)
Lineage: Eukaryota; Metazoa; Chordata; Mammalia; Primates; Hominidae
Source: RNAcentral
UAGGUAGAUCAGGUUUUCAUGACACUAA